GCAUAAGGAAAUAGGCGAAGGGCAGGUGAAUCCUCUAUUGCUCUUGUCUUUCUCAGGAAGGAUGCAGGUUACCAUGAUAAGAGAUGGUCCAUUGCACUUGGCUAGAAGUUGUCAGGGACUGGAUCACAGAGGCAGAGCAUUUGGGGCAGGGGGUGGGGUGCCCUAGGAAGAAUGGGCUGGUUGCAGACUACUGGCAAAGUGCUCUUUGGGACCUAACAGCUGCUAGAAGGGGAAGUUUAUGUAGUAUUUGCCUGGCACAUGAUGAGACAUCUGGCAAGCAACUAGGGACUGUUUCAAGAUAAACUGUGGCAAUCACAACGCUACAGAGACCCCAUAAGGGCACUACAAUUAUCAUGGCUUAAAACUGCAGACUGACAUCUCUGGAUGUGAAUGAGGCUUGAGGACAGAAGAAUUGCCUGAUCAAGUUGGAAUUUGGAAUGAGGCUACAGGACCACCUUAUCUUUAUAAAACACAAUGUAGGGAAGACUGGCCAUCAGGAAUGCUGUCUUCACAAGGAGAGGUAUGAAGAUCAAUAUGACAGAAACCCCCAGUAGCUUUGGGAAAACCAGUUUAAAAUCGUGGAGAUGCUUCAUGCACCAGAGACAAUACAUAAACAAAUUCUUUCAUAAACUUGAUCGCAGUGGGGUAAGUUCCAACUGCAUCAGCCUGACAGAACUUUGAAACAGUUUUGAGUGCUCCAAGAUAAAAGUGAUGGAGGAUCAUCUCAGGUCUGUUUUCUUUCCAAUUGCCUAGCUGGAGAAUCUCUACCACUUUGCUGAGCAGGUUUUAGUGUCAAUGACUGUGCACUGCAAGCUUAAUGCCAUCCCAUUAGGAAUGACAUCCUUCCAUUAUCACCUUUAAAAAACUACGUUCUCCACCACAACAAUAUUCUGCAGCAAACAGCCACAACUGCUAGUAUUGGAAGGGAAGGAGCUUGGUAAGUGUCGAUGGACUGGACCAGAGUUAAGGUUGCAGUGUGCAUGGGAAGUGGUGUACAAUUGUUGUGAGAAGGUUAAGAAAUGGAGGUAUUUUAAAGUGGCUUUUCACUUGGUUGUUUUUGUGGGUUUGUGCCUCAUAUGUUGUGUGUAGCAAUCCUAAUUGAUUCACAACCAUAGGUUUAGUGUAUUAAUUGAAUUAAGAACUAUGAUGGCACAAUUAAGUACUUCUUCAGGGGGCUGGGAACACUGACCAGAGAAGAUGAAGACAGGAAAUGAGAGCUCAGAAGCCACACUGAGCACCCUGGUUAAAAAAAAAAAAAAAUCUUUACAAAACAAAAACAAAAAAAAAUACCCACCUCACCCUGGCCUUUUGAAAUACAAUUCUCCUGCUAGAAGAGAGUGUGGUGGAUGUAGGAGGGGCAGAUCCCAGGGGCUAUAUGCUGCAGCCUGUCUUACAUAUCAGGUCACACCUAAUAAUCAUUGUGGUGUUAAAAUCUGUGAAUCAGCCAGGAACUCAGUGAUAUGAUUUCCAAAGUUAGCCAUGUGCAACCAGUUAUGUGCCCUUAAAGAGACAAGGUCGGUGAGGUAAUAUCUUUUACUGGA
This is a non-coding RNA of Chelonoidis abingdonii (Abingdon island giant tortoise), 1541 nucleotides long. The record is from RefSeq and is a predicted model, not a curated record. Lineage: Eukaryota; Metazoa; Chordata; Testudines; Testudinidae.